AUUUAGCCAUGCUAGUUGCACGAGUUUAGACUCGUAGCAUAUAGCUCAGUAACACGUGGCCAAACUACCCUACAGACCGCGAUAACCUCGGGAAACUGAGGCCAAUAGCGGAUAUCACUCUCAUGCUGGAGUGCCGAGAGUGAGAAACGUCCCGGCGCUGUAGGAUGUGGCUGCGGCCGAUUAGGUAGAUGGUGGGGUAACGGCCCACCAUGCCGAUAAUCGGUACAGGUUGUGAGAGCAAGAGCCUGGAGACGGUAUCUGAGACAAGAUACCGGGCCCUACGGGGCGCAGCAGGCGCGAAACCUUUACACUGCACGACAGUGCGAUAGGGGGACUCCGAGUGUGAGGGCAUAUAGCCCUCGCUUUUCUGAACCGUAAGGUGGUUCAGGAACAAGGACUGGGCAAGACCGGUGCCAGCCGCCGCGGUAAUACCGGCAGUCCGAGUGAUGGCCGAUAUUAUUGGGCCUAAAGCGUCCGUAGCUUGCUGUGUAAGUCCAUUGGGAAAUCGACCAGCUCAACUGGUCGGCGUCCGGUGGAAACUACACAGCUUGGGGCCGAGAGACUCAACGGGUACGUCCGGGGUAGGAGUGAAAUCCUGUAAUCCUGGACGGACCACCAAUGGGGAAACCACGCUGAGAGACCGGACCCGACAGUGAGGGACGAAAGCCAGGGUCUCGAACCG
Molecule: ribosomal RNA, 682 nt
Filed under: uncultured archaeon
Lineage: Archaea
Description: bacterial SSU rRNA
Rfam family: Archaeal small subunit ribosomal RNA
Source: RNAcentral